CCCCGUUUAGCUCAGUUGGUAGAGCGCUCCACUGGGAAAGGGGAGGUUCCUGGUUCGAUACCCGGACCAGGCG
Molecule: transfer RNA, 73 nt
Filed under: Ixodes scapularis (black-legged tick)
Lineage: Eukaryota; Metazoa; Arthropoda; Arachnida; Ixodida; Ixodidae
Rfam family: tRNA
About the family: Transfer RNA (tRNA) molecules are approximately 80 nucleotides in length. Their secondary structure includes four short double-helical elements and three loops (D, anti-codon, and T loops).
Source: Rfam by way of RNAcentral